This 301-nucleotide ribosomal RNA is filed under the name uncultured bacterium. Its description in RNAcentral is "partial 16S ribosomal RNA". It matches the Rfam family "Bacterial small subunit ribosomal RNA", at positions 509 to 807 of the family's 1533-position model. The record is from RNAcentral.
CAGUCGCCGCGGUAAUACGUAGGUGGCAAGCGUUGUCCGGAGUUAUUGGGCGUAAAGGGCUCGCAGGCGGUUUCUUAAGUCUGAUGUGAAAGCCCCCGGCUCAACCGGGGAGGGUCAUUGGAAACUGGGAAACUUGAGUGCAGAAGAGGAGAGUGGAAUUCCACGUGUAGCGGUGAAAUGCGUAGAGAUGUGGAAGAACACCAGUGGCGAAGGCGACUCUCUGGUCUGUAACUGACGCUGAGGAGCGAAAGCGUGGGGAGCGAACAGGAUUAGAUACCCCAGUAGUCCCUGUCUCUUAUAC